RNAcentral lists this ribosomal RNA (253 nucleotides) under uncultured bacterium. RNAcentral's name for it is "partial 16S ribosomal RNA". It matches the Rfam family "Bacterial small subunit ribosomal RNA", at positions 524 to 776 of the family's 1533-position model. The record is from RNAcentral.
UACGUGGGGUCCGAGCGUUGUCCGGAAUUAUUGGGCGUAAAGGGCUCGUAGGCGGUUUGUCACGUCGGGAGUGAAAACUCAGGGCUCAACCCUGAGCGUGCUUCCGAUACGGGCAGACUAGAGGUAUGCAGGGGAGAACGGAAUUCCUGGUGUAGCGGUGGAAUGCGCAGAUAUCUGGAGGAACACCGGUGGCGAAGGCGGCAUCCUGGACCAAUACUGACACUGAGGAGCGAAAGCCAGGGGAGCAAACGGG